This 500-nucleotide ribosomal RNA is filed under the name uncultured bacterium. RNAcentral describes it as "partial 16S ribosomal RNA". It matches the Rfam family "Bacterial small subunit ribosomal RNA", at positions 30 to 523 of the family's 1533-position model. The record is from RNAcentral.
AUUGAACGCUGGCGGCAUGCCUUACACAUGCAAGUCGAACGGCAGCACGGGAGCAAUCCUGGUGGCGAGUGGCGAACGGGUGAGUAAAGUAUCGGAACGUGCCCAGUCGUGGGGGAUAACGUAGCGAAAGUUACGCUAAUACCGCAUACGAUCUAUGGAUGAAAGCGGGGGAUCGCAAGACCUCGCGCGAUGUGAGCGGCCGAUAGCAGAUUAGGUAGUUGGUGGGGUAAAGGCUCACCAAGCCGACGAUCUGUAGCUGGUCUGAGAGGACGACCAGCCACACUGGGACUGAGACACGGCCCAGACUCCUACGGGAGGCAGCAGUGGGGAAUUUUGGACAAUGGGCGCAAGCCUGAUCCAGCCAUGCCGCGUGCAGGAUGAAGGCCUUCGGGUUGUAAACUGCUUUUGUACGGAACGAAAAGGUUUGACUUAAUACGUUGGACUCAUGACGGUACCGUAAGAAUAAGCACCGGCUAACUACGUGCCAGCCGCCGCAGUAA